CCUACGGGUGGCAGCAGUGGGGAAUAUUGCGCAAUGGGCGAAAGCCUGACGCAGCGACGCCGCGUGAGGGAUGAAGGUCUUCGGAUCGUAAACCUCUGUCAGCAGGGAAGAAAGGUCACUGUGCUAAUCAGCAGUGAAUUGACGGUACCUGCAAAGGAAGCACCGGCUAACUCAGUGCCAGCAGCCGCGGUAAUACGGCGGGGGCGAGCGUUAAUCGGAAUUACUGGGCGUAAGGCGGUCGCAGGCGGGAUGUCAAGUCAAGGGUGAACUCCCGGCGCUCAACGUGGGAACUGCCUUUGAAACUGGCAAGCUGGAGUGUGUGAGAGGAUGGUGGAAUGCCAGGUGUAGGAGUGAAAUCCGUAGAUAUCAGGAGGAACACCAGUGGCGAAGGCGACUAUCUGGCACAUAACUGACGCUGAGGAGCGAAAGCGUGGGUAGCAAACAGGAUUAGAUACCCGAGUAGUC
This 465-nucleotide ribosomal RNA is filed under the name uncultured bacterium. Its description in RNAcentral is "partial 16S ribosomal RNA". It matches the Rfam family "Bacterial small subunit ribosomal RNA", at positions 338 to 795 of the family's 1533-position model. The record is from RNAcentral.